RNAcentral lists this long non-coding RNA (1136 nucleotides) under Helianthus annuus (common sunflower). Its description in RNAcentral is "hypothetical non coding rna". Lineage: Eukaryota; Viridiplantae; Streptophyta; Magnoliopsida; Asterales; Asteraceae. The record is from RNAcentral.
CUCUCAUUCUUUUACUUGACUACUUCACACCGAAACCCUAGCCUCCCUUCCCUCUUUCUUCUAGAGCAAUCAUCGUCAUCUUCACCACUUAUUAAGGAUCAAUUAGAUGUUGAUCAAUCAGUACAGAAAUGAAUACAAAUAUAUACAAAUAUAUGUGAUUCGAAUAAAGGAAGAUGGUGACGUUGGUUGUGGCCUGAAGAGAAACGACGACGAAGAAUGGUUGAUUUAGGGUUCUUCAGUUCGGGUAAUGUGAUGGUUGAUUUAGGGAUUCUGAAACCGUAAGUUUUCUUCUCCCGUUUUACACUGAUUUCUUCAUCUGGCGAACUUCCAGGAAGAUGGUGAUGGUGGCCUGGAAAGGAACGAUGACAACGGCAUGUGUUGAUUUAGUGUUUCUCAAGUGGUGGUCUUAUGAUGGUUGUUGUUUAACGCAAAGACGGAAGGGCGGCGGCUAGGGUUCCACCACAUAACUUUGACCAGUUGUGGUUUCCGCCGGUUAUCGGUAGAUCAACCAGGAAUGAUAUUGUACGAGUUAUGCGAUUUGUUUGGAAUGUACAUGAUAGAUGAAACAAGUUAUGGACCAAAUCAUGUUGCUCUUGCUGGCCAAAAGAGUUCCAGUAACAAAGACCAAUCUUUGUACGCGUUGGUCGGGGUGACCAGAACCACUUAUGAGUUAUUUUCAAUAACUGGUUGUGGUAUUGAUAUCGGUAUUUAAAGAAAACUUUGACUGAGGAAUGUAUGCUUGCCUAAUUUGGUUGUUUGGAAGAGGGGAGAGUGAGUUUUCUGUUGGUAUAAGGCUAGCCUUGGUUCAACAGGAUUAAGACAGUUUGACUUAUAAGAAGUUAACCCAAAGUAGAAGUUGAAGAAUAUCAUGUUGGGGCAUCAUGAGGCAAAGGUAAAGUAUUAAUAUUAAAGCUCCAACAUAAUGAUGAUGCUGCUGCUCAAGUCUAUGGUCGAACUACAUAACCUGUGGAAAAGCAUAUGAAUAACUCUAUAAGUGUGUUUGUAUCUCACAACUUAAAUUAUCAUUUUCUCUAUAAUAUUUAUCUUCAUCUUACUGUAUAAAUGACAUUGUUAAUAAUAAACUUGGAAUAAAACGCUUAUGACACUGUUUUAAUAUACAUUUUAUUUAAUAUUGC